Pseudophryne corroboree (corroboree frog) is the source of this 266-nucleotide long non-coding RNA. RefSeq lists it as uncharacterized. The transcript has 3 exons. The record is from RefSeq and is a predicted model, not a curated record. NCBI's taxonomy places the organism in Eukaryota, Metazoa, Chordata, Amphibia, Anura, Myobatrachidae.
CAGCCCAGAAGAAGUCUACUGCCACCUCUGUCUCUGCACAGCCCCAGGAUGAGGAUGAAGAUGUUUUUGCAACAGUUGAUUCCAGCAGAACUCCAUCCUGUACAGGAAGAAUCUUUGAAUUAAGGACAACACAUUUCUCAAACAUUGAAUAAUUCAAAUAGAUGCAAUUAUGUUUAUAAUCUACAGAUGAUAGUUCUUCUGUCUCAACUCCGUAUACCCCAUGUGAGAGAAGACGGACUUAUCCUGUGACUAAUCUCAAUGCAAAC